GCCAAUUGGCUGUAUCACAUGGAAGUUGUACCCGUCAGCACCUGCUGAGGGCUUUGUUGUCCAAACCCUGACAGGUAAAAAAAUUCCUGUAGAAUAAAGCCAGACCAGCUGGCUUUGAAGAGAAACCCCCCAGUUUGGGCUGCGUUUGCCUCCUCUCCUUUUCUAUGAAGACCGAGGCUUUGCCCCCUUGAUCGUCAAGCCGUGAGAUGCGUGAUCUCUCUGCACAAGUGUCUGGCAGGCCGAGGGCACCACUUUCAGAUAAAAACAUAGACCUGAAUGGCAUCAUCCAGUAUCCAAGGAAACCAUGUUCUCUAAACAUGAGUAUGCCUUUGGGGGAAGACAGAAGAACAUGGAAGCCAUGU
Molecule: non-coding RNA, 362 nt
Filed under: Pan troglodytes (chimpanzee)
Lineage: Eukaryota; Metazoa; Chordata; Mammalia; Primates; Hominidae
Source: RNAcentral